Molecule: long non-coding RNA, 856 nt
Organism: Nymphaea colorata (pocket water lily)
Lineage: Eukaryota; Viridiplantae; Streptophyta; Magnoliopsida; Nymphaeales; Nymphaeaceae
Exons: 2
Source: RefSeq, a predicted model, not a curated record
AGCAGGUAUCUUACGUACCGUAUCCUAUACGUAUACGGUAUAAUAUUAAAAUUGUUUGUGACAGAGAGCGUCCCGGGACGUUUUUGUCACCGUAUCGUCUCCAUCUUCAAGGACCACUCUGCUGUUCUUGAUUUUAAUAUGCAAGACUCGAUUCAGUGCUGACUAUGGCCGGUUGGUUGCUCGGAAAUUUCCCCUAAAGGGGGUUGAAAGUAAAGAGCACAGACAGUAAGGUGGUUGACACAGGGGGUGCUUUCUUUAUCUUUUUUUUUUUUUCCUCUUCUUUUAUUUUCUUUCCUUAGCAAUGGUUUCUUUUUUCUCUCCUUUUCCUUUUCUUUCUCUCGUUUCGGUCUUUCUAGGCCUGGAACUCAUGUGGUCCAAUCUCUGGGAGACCGUCUUGCACUUGUGUGAAGACUUUUAACAAAGGUAUCAUCUUCCUUUAGACAAAGAAUUUAAUUUUUGGCUUACCUUUAUCUUUUAUUUGUUCUUUUCAGCGCAAGGAACCAGCCAUGCUAAGAUCAACACUUUUCUUCUUCUUUGCAAUAAAGUAGACAGUGAACCAGCGGCGUCGGGAAAGAUGGUAUGGGUCAAAGGGCCAGCCUGGGCACGGUGAACCAGAGACUCAGUUCUCUUGAAUCGAUGGCCAUGAGAUGCCUGUGGGAGCUCUCCUAAGCCUCGGUCUGUAAUGCCAACAACUGUGUCAGUGUUUACGCCAGUGACGGCCCUUUGUGUCUUGGUUUUGACUCUGUCACGGCCAAAAGAACGAAGAAAGGCUGGCUUUGUACGCCUUAACUUACCCUAAAUGUGUCAUCUGUACGCUGACAGCAUCCCAACUUAAGCACCUUCUUUUCUUAGCUAA